CACUACCUGAACCUGAAAGAGCACAGCUUACAAACGAAAGUAUUGUCUGUUUUAGACAAUGGUUUAUUUGAUGACAUUGGAGAAUCCAUUCAACCAAAGCAUUUCAAGAAGAACAAAGGUUUAUAUAGAGAACACACUGAAAAUCAUUUGGUCAAUCAUAAGAAGCAAAUUGAAACAGAAAUUGAAUGGAAAAACAUCUCAAAAGAAAGAUGGUUGUCAGAAAAAAUACAAGCACUCCAUCGACAAUAUAAAAUCAUCUCACGAUUUGUUGAAAUUUCUCCAGGUUGAAUCAACAUACCACGGUUCCACCUCAAAUCACUUAAAAUCAUCUACAAAGCAGUCUGUUUUUAAAAAUGUAGAUAAACUGCAGUGGACAAUGAUCAAAAAAUUUAUUAAUAAAAGAAUAAAAUUGCUUAGAACAACUGAAGAACGUGGAGAUAUCAAGAGACGGGAAACAUUACUUAAACAAGUUUGUGAAAAUAUAAGACAUUGGACAUCGUA
Molecule: long non-coding RNA, 501 nt
Organism: Homalodisca vitripennis (glassy-winged sharpshooter)
Lineage: Eukaryota; Metazoa; Arthropoda; Insecta; Hemiptera; Cicadellidae
Exons: 2
Source: RefSeq, a predicted model, not a curated record